AAAUGCCGGCAUAUAUAUAUUUUCAACAUUUGACAUAACCCUGUAUGUUUUGCAGGGACAACCCAGGACGUGCAUUUCUCAACACCCAGUCAACUGCCAAAAGUGACUCAAACACAGGCCACCAGUGGAACUCGGCUGUACCACUGCAGUGCUGCGGAAAUUGCCAGCACCAGCGGCUUUGCAACAGCUGUUUCGCAGCAUGUCGGAGACAAUGCCUACGAAAUUAUUGG
This 230-nucleotide long non-coding RNA is filed under the name Dermacentor andersoni. Its description in RNAcentral is "uncharacterized LOC126523970". The record is from RNAcentral. Lineage: Eukaryota; Metazoa; Arthropoda; Arachnida; Ixodida; Ixodidae.